CCGUAGCGAUUCUGACGUGCAAAUCGAUCGUCAAACUUGGGUAUAGGGGCGAAAGACUAAUCGAACCAUCUAGUAGCUGGUUCCCUCCGAAGUUUCCCUCAGGAUAGCUGGCGCACUCUCGCAGUUUUAUCCGGUAAAGCGAAUGAUUAGAGGCCUUGGGGACGAAACGACCUCAACCUAUUCUCAAACUUUAAAUGGGUAAGAAGUCCGGCUCGCUCGAUCUGGAGCCGGGC
Molecule: ribosomal RNA, 233 nt
Filed under: Bullina lineata
Lineage: Eukaryota; Metazoa; Mollusca; Gastropoda; Bullinidae
Description: partial 28S ribosomal RNA
Rfam family: Eukaryotic large subunit ribosomal RNA
Source: RNAcentral